RNAcentral lists this ribosomal RNA (692 nucleotides) under uncultured bacterium. Its description in RNAcentral is "bacterial SSU rRNA". It matches the Rfam family "Bacterial small subunit ribosomal RNA", at positions 8 to 692 of the family's 1533-position model. The record is from RNAcentral.
AGAGUUUGAUCAUGGCUCAGAACGAACGCUGGCGGCGCGCCUAAUACAUGCAAGUCGAACGAGAAUGUGUAGCAAUACACAUGUACAGUGGCGAACGGGUGAGGAAUACAUGGGUAACCUACCCUCGAGUGGGGAAUAACUAGCCGAAAGGUUAGCUAAUACCGCGUACGCUUCCCGGACUGCGGUCUGGGAAGGAAAGCGAUACCGUGGGUAUCGCGCUCUUGGAUGGGCUCAUGCCCUAUCAGCUUGUUGGUGAGGUAACGGCUCACCAAGGCUUCGACGGGUAGCUGAUCUGAGAGGAUGAUCAGCCACACUGGCACUGCGACACGGGCCAGACUCCUACGGGAGGCAGCAGUAAGGAAUAUUGCGCAAUGGGCGAAAGCCUGACGCAGCGACGCCGCGUGGGGGAUGAAGGUCUUCGGAUUGUAAACCCCUUUCGGGAGGGAAGAUGGGAUGGGGUAACCCAUUCGGACGGUACCUCCAGAAGCAGCCACGGCUAACUUCGUGCCAGCAGCCGCGGUAAUACGAAGGUGGCAAGCGUUGUUCGGAUUUACUGGGCGUACAGGGAGCGUAGGCGGUUGGAUAAGCCCUCCGUGAAAUCUCCAGGCUUAACCUGGAAAGUGCAGAGGGGACUGUUCAGCUAGAGGAUGGGAGAGGAGCGCGGAAUUCCCGGUGUAGCGGUGAAAUGCGUA